This 764-nucleotide ribosomal RNA is filed under the name uncultured bacterium. Its description in RNAcentral is "bacterial SSU rRNA". It matches the Rfam family "Bacterial small subunit ribosomal RNA", at positions 8 to 798 of the family's 1533-position model. The record is from RNAcentral.
AGAGUUUGAUCAUGGCUCAGGAUGAACGCUGGCGGCGUGCCUAACACAUGCAAGUCGAGCGGCAGCGCGAGUAGUUUACUACUUGGCGGCGAGCGGCGGACGGCUGAGUAACGCGUGGGAACAUACCCCAAAGUGAGGGAUAACUGCCCGAAAGGGUAGCUAAUACCGCAUAUGAUCUUCGGAUUAAAGGAUUUAUCCGCUUUGGGAGUGGCCCGCGUCGGAUUAGGUAGUUGGUGAGGUAAAGGCUCACCAAGCCGACGAUCCGUAGCUGGUCUGAGAGGAUGACCAGCCAGACUGGGACUGAGACACGGCCCAGACUCCUACGGGAGGCAGCAGUGAGGAAUCUUCCACAAUGGGCGAAAGCCUGAUGGAGCAACGCCGCGUGCAGGAUGAAGGCCUUCGGGUUGUAAACUGCUUUUAUAAGUGAGGAAUAUGACGGUAACUUAUGAAUAAGGAUCGGCUAACUACGUGCCAGCAGCCGCGGUCAUACGUAGGAUCCGAGCGUUAUCCGGAGUGACUGGGCGUAAAGAGUUGCGUAGGCGGUUUGUUAAGCGAAUAGUGAAACCUGGUGGCUCAACCAUACAGACUAUUAUUCGAACUGGCAAACUCGAGAGUGGUAGAGGUCACUGGAAUUUCUUGUGUAGGAGUGAAAUCCGUAGAUAUAAGAAGGAACACCAAUGGCGUAGGCAGGUGACUAGACCAUUUCUGACGCUAAGGCACGAAAGCGUGGGGAGCGAACCGGAUUAGAUACCCUGGUAGUCCAA